GUGGGUGUGGCCUAGUUGGUUAGGGCGCAAGAUUGUGGCUCUUGAGGUCGUCGGUUCGAAUCCGAUCACCCACCCCA
This 77-nucleotide transfer RNA is filed under the name Slackia isoflavoniconvertens. Its description in RNAcentral is "tRNA-His". It matches the Rfam family "tRNA". From Rfam's summary of the family: Transfer RNA (tRNA) molecules are approximately 80 nucleotides in length. Their secondary structure includes four short double-helical elements and three loops (D, anti-codon, and T loops). Lineage: Bacteria; Bacillati; Actinomycetota; Coriobacteriia; Eggerthellales; Eggerthellaceae. RNAcentral also lists the same sequence under 2 other names. The record is from RNAcentral.